UAAGGAAUAUUGGUCAAUGGAGGAAACUCUGAACCAGCCAUCCCGCGUGAAGGAUGAAGGGGCUCUGCCUUGUAAACUUCUUUUGAAUGGGACGAAAAAAGGGGAUUUAUCCUCGACUGACGGUACCAUUAGAAUAAGCACCGGCUAACUCCGUGCCAGCAGCCGCGGUAAUACGGAGGGUGCAAGCGUUAUCCGGAAUCACUGGGUUUAAAGGGUGCGUAGGCGGCUAAAUAAGUCAGUGGUGAAAGGC
This 250-nucleotide ribosomal RNA is filed under the name uncultured bacterium. RNAcentral's name for it is "partial 16S ribosomal RNA". It matches the Rfam family "Bacterial small subunit ribosomal RNA", at positions 355 to 602 of the family's 1533-position model. The record is from RNAcentral.